Molecule: long non-coding RNA, 1383 nt
Filed under: Salmo trutta (river trout)
Lineage: Eukaryota; Metazoa; Chordata; Actinopteri; Salmoniformes; Salmonidae
Description: lncRNA (ENSSTUG00000007288.1)
Source: RNAcentral
GUGACACCCUAGACCCAAACUGUUACAGACCUAUUUCCAUCCUGCCCUGCCUAUCUAAAGUCUUCGAAAGCCAAGUUAAUAAACGGAUCACUGACCAUUUAGAAUCCCACCGUACCUUCUCCGCUGUGCAAUCCGGUUUCCGAGCUGGUCACGGGUGCACCUCAGCCACGCUCAAGGUUCUAAACGAUAUCAUAACCGCCAUCGAUAAAAGACAGUACUGUGCAGCCGUCUUCAUCGACCUGGCCAAGGCUUUCGACUCUGUCAAUCACCGUAUUCUUAUCGGCAGACUCAAUAGCCUUGGUUUUUCUAAUGACUGCCUCGCCUGGUUCACCAACUACUUUGCAGACAGAGUUCAGUGUGUCAAAUCGGAGGGCAUGUUGUCCGGACCUCUGGCAGUCUCUAUGGGGGUACCACAGGGUUCAAUUCUCAGGCCGACUCUUUUCUCUGUAUAUAUCAAUGAUGUCGCUCUUGCUGCGGGCGAUUCCCUGAUCCACCUCUACGCAGACAACACCAUUCUGUAUACAUCUGGCCCUUCCUUGGACACUGUGCUAACAAACCUCCAAACGAGCUUCAAUGCCAUACAACACUCCUUCUGUGGCCUCCAACUGUUCUUAAACGCUAGUAAAACCAAAUGCAUGCUUUUCAACUGUUCGCUGCCCGCACCAGCCCGCCCGACUAGCAUCACCACCCUGGAUGGUUCCGACCUAGAAUAUGUGGACAACUAUAAAUACCUAGGUGUCUGGCUAGACUGUAAACUCUCCUUCCAGACUCAUAUUAAACAUCUCCAAUCCAAAAUCAAAUCUAGAAUCGGCUUUCUAUUUCACAACAAAGCCUCCUUCACUCCCUCUGCCAAACUUACCCAAGUAAAACUGACUAUCCUACCAAUCCUCGACUUCGGCGAUGUCAUCUACAAAAUAGCUUCCAUUACUCUACUCAGCAAACUGGAUGCAGUCUAUCACAGUGCCAUCCGUUUUGUUACCAAAUCACCUUAUACCGCCCACCACUGCGACCUGUAUGCUCUAGUCUGCUGGCCCUCGCUACAUAUUCGCCGCCAGACCCACUGGCUCCAGGUCAUCUAUAAGUCUAUGCUAGGUAAAGCUCCGCCUUAUCUCAGUUCACUGGUCACGAUAACAAUACCCACCCGUAGCACACGUUCCAGCAGGUAUAUCUCACUGAUCAUCCCCAAAGCCAACACCUCCUUUGGCCGCCUUUCCUUCCAGUUCUCUGCUGCCAGUGUCUGGAACGAAUUGCAAAAAUCGCUGAAGUUGGAGACUUUUAUUUCCCUCACCAACUAUAAACAUCAGCUACCUGAGCUGCUAACCAAUCGCUGCAGCUGUACAUAGUCCAUCUGUAAAUUGCACACCCAAUCUACCUACCUCAUCC